UACACAUCUUCCUGGUGUAUGUUUGUGGAUUUUAGAAUAAGUAAUUUCCUUCAACCGUUUGGCUCCGGAAUCGAGACUAACCAUGGCUCAAAAGGAACGUAAUGUUGAUAGUGGUAUUUUUGAUGGUGAGGAAUGUGCUAAAAUUGAAAAAUCAUCAUCGAAAUCAAAAGGAUCUGGAAUAUUUCGUACAAUAUCUAAAAAAUUUGGAUUUAGUAACAGAAAAACUCCCUCAAAGUCGACAGUUUCUACCAAGAAUCCCAGUAAAAGAAGCUCUCCUUCUCAGUCUUCAAGAAAAUCGUUAAACUAUUCUCCCCACUCCCUCCUUCAAACCAAGGACUCGGUUAUGAUUGGGCCUCAAUGUGAAACACACGAAAUGAAAGAAGCACCUGUCUCAGCUCCACUUAUGAGAAAGAAAAUGUUCUCUAAUUUAAGCACUUCAGG
Long non-coding RNA from Saccostrea cuccullata (small rock oyster), 441 nucleotides. RefSeq lists it as uncharacterized. The record is from RefSeq and is a predicted model, not a curated record. The transcript is spliced from 2 exons. NCBI's taxonomy places the organism in Eukaryota, Metazoa, Mollusca, Bivalvia, Ostreida, Ostreidae.